RNAcentral lists this ribosomal RNA (207 nucleotides) under uncultured bacterium. RNAcentral describes it as "partial 16S ribosomal RNA". It matches the Rfam family "Bacterial small subunit ribosomal RNA", at positions 568 to 774 of the family's 1533-position model. The record is from RNAcentral.
AGCGCAGGCGGGACUGCAAGUUGGAUGUGAAAUACCGCAGCUUAACUGCGGAGCUGCAUCCAAAACUGUAGUUCUUGAGUGGAGUAGAGGCAAGCGGAAUUCCGAGUGUAGCGGUGAAAUGCGUAGAUAUUCGGAGGAACACCAGUGGCGAAGGCGGCUUGCUGGGCUCUAACUGACGCUGAGGCUCGAAAGUGUGGGGAGCAAACA